Non-coding RNA from Acanthosepion pharaonis, 112 nucleotides. The record is from the annotation of a GenBank genome assembly. NCBI's taxonomy places the organism in Eukaryota, Metazoa, Mollusca, Cephalopoda, Sepiida, Sepiidae.
UUACAGCCAUAUCACGUUGAAACAUCGGUUCUCGUACGAACACCGAAGUUAAGCAACGCUGAGGCUUGUCAGCACAUAAAUGGGUGAGCACUUGGAAGUACCAAGUGCUGAA